This 225-nucleotide ribosomal RNA is filed under the name uncultured bacterium. RNAcentral's name for it is "partial 16S ribosomal RNA". It matches the Rfam family "Bacterial small subunit ribosomal RNA", at positions 109 to 334 of the family's 1533-position model. The record is from RNAcentral.
CGGAACACGUACAGAACCUUCCUUUAAGCGGGGAUAGCCCAUAGAAAUGUGGAUUAAUACCCCAUAGUAAUAUUUGGUGGCAUCAUUAGAUAUUUAAAGAUUUAUCACUUAAAGAUGGCUGUGCGGCUGAUUAGGUAGUUGGUGUGGGUAACGGCCUACCAAGCCAGCGAUCAGUAACUGGUGUGAGAGCACGACCAGUCACACGGGCACUGAGACACGGGCCCG